ACCUACGGGAGGCAGCAGUGGGGAAUAUUGCACAAUGGGGGAAACCCUGAUGCAGCGACGCCGCGUGAGUGAGGAAGUAUUUCGGUAUGUAAAGCUCUAUCAGCAGGGAAGAAAAUGACGGUACCUGACUAAGAAGCCCCGGCUAACUACGUGCCAGCAGCAGCGGUAAUACGUAGGGGGCAAGCGUUAUCCGGAUUUACUGGGUGUAAAGGGAGCGUAGACGGAAUUGCAAGUCUGAUGUGAAAAUCCGGGGCCCAACCCCGGAAGUACAUUGGAAACUGUUUUUCUAGAGUGUCGUAGAGGAA
This 305-nucleotide ribosomal RNA is filed under the name uncultured bacterium. RNAcentral's name for it is "bacterial SSU rRNA". It matches the Rfam family "Bacterial small subunit ribosomal RNA", at positions 337 to 659 of the family's 1533-position model. The record is from RNAcentral.